RNAcentral lists this ribosomal RNA (253 nucleotides) under uncultured Lachnospiraceae bacterium. RNAcentral's name for it is "partial 16S ribosomal RNA". It matches the Rfam family "Bacterial small subunit ribosomal RNA", at positions 524 to 776 of the family's 1533-position model. The record is from RNAcentral. Lineage: Bacteria; Bacillati; Bacillota; Clostridia; Lachnospirales; Lachnospiraceae.
UACGGAGGGUGCAAGCGUUACUCGGAAUCACUGGGCGUAAAGAGAGCGUAGACGGCCGAUCAAGUCUGGAGUGAAAGCCCGGGGCUCAACUCCGGGACUGCUUUUGAAACUGUGUGACUGGAGUGCAGGAGAGGUAAGCGGAAUUCCUGGUGUAGCGGUGAAAUGCGUAGAUAUCAGGAGGAACACCAGUGGCGAAGGCGGCUUACUGGACUGUAACUGACGUUGAGGCUCGAAAGCGUGGGGAGCAAACAGG